AUGGAGAUCGCCAUGGUGGCCAUAAGGCCUCUCCUUACGAAGCUUGGCGGCCUGCUCGCUGGUGAGUUCACCCUGGAGAAGCGCGUGAGGAAAGGUAUGGAGUCUCUUGUCAUAGAGCUAACCUUGAUGCACGCUGCCCUCCGCAAGGUGGCAAAAGUCCCGCAAGAGCAGCUUGAUGAGGGGGUCAAGAUAUGGGCCGAAAAUGUCGAGUUGUCCUACCAAAUGGAGGACAUCGUUGACACCAUGAUGGUGCAUGUGGAAGAUGACGGUGAGCCUGUCAACCAGAAUAGAAUCAAGAAGUUGAUCAAGAAGAUCAUCAAAUUAUUCAAGAACGGAAGGGAUCUGCAUCGGAUAUCUGACUCUCUAGAAGUGGUGAUGGGUCAAGCUAAGCAGUUGGCUGAGCAGCGCAAAAGAUAUGAGCAAGAGAUGCGGGACACCAGUGCUGGUGCUGGCAUUGACCCUCGUGUGUUGGCUCUAUACACAGAUGUGACAGAGCUUGUUGGGAUCAAAUAA
Molecule: ribosomal RNA, 513 nt
Filed under: Triticum aestivum (bread wheat)
Lineage: Eukaryota; Viridiplantae; Streptophyta; Magnoliopsida; Poales; Poaceae
Description: partial small subunit ribosomal RNA
Source: RNAcentral